Molecule: ribosomal RNA, 301 nt
Filed under: uncultured bacterium
Lineage: Bacteria
Description: partial 16S ribosomal RNA
Rfam family: Bacterial small subunit ribosomal RNA
Source: RNAcentral
CAGCAGCCGCGGUAAUACGUAGGUGGCAAGCGUUGUCCGGAAUUAUUGGGCGUAAAGGGCUCGCAGGCGGUUUCUUAAGUCUGAUGUGAAAGCCCCCGGCUCAACCGGGGAGGGUCAUUGGAAACUGGGAAACUUGAGUGCAGAAGAGGAGAGUGGAAUUCCACGUGUAGCGGUGAAAUGCGUAGAGAUGUGGAGGAACACCUGUGGCGAAGGCGACUCUCUGGUCUGUAACUGACGCUGAGGAGCGAAAGCGUGGGGAGCGAACAGGAUUAGAUACCCCCGUAGUCCAUGUCUCUUAUAA